CGACGCUGGCGGCGUGCCUAAUACAUGCAAGUCGAGCGGACUUGAUGGAGUGCUUGCACUCCUGAUGGUUAGCGGCGGACGGGUGAGUAACACGUAGGCAACCUGCCCUCAAGACUGGGAUAACUACCGGAAACGGUAGCUAAUACCGGAUAAUUUAUUUUGCAGCAUUGUGAAAUAAUGAAAGGCGGAGCAAUCUGUCACUUGAGGAUGGGCCUGCGGCGCAUUAGCUAGUUGGUGGGGUAACGGCCCACCAAGGCGACGAUGCGUAGCCGACCUGAGAGGGUGAACGGCCACACUGGGACUGAGACACGGCCCAGACUCCUACGGGAGGCAGCAGUAGGGAAUCUUCCGCAAUGGGCGAAAGCCUGACGGAGCAACGCCGCGUGAGUGAUGAAGGUUUUCGGAUCGUAAAGCUCUGUUGCCAAGGAAGAACGUCUUCUAGAGUAACUGCUAGGAGAGUGACGGUACUUGAGAAGAAAGCCCCGGCUAACUACGUGCCA
RNAcentral lists this ribosomal RNA (500 nucleotides) under Paenibacillus sp. BT3(2010). Its description in RNAcentral is "bacterial SSU rRNA". It matches the Rfam family "Bacterial small subunit ribosomal RNA", at positions 33 to 510 of the family's 1533-position model. The record is from RNAcentral. Lineage: Bacteria; Bacillati; Bacillota; Bacilli; Caryophanales; Paenibacillaceae.